RNAcentral lists this ribosomal RNA (1832 nucleotides) under human gut metagenome. Its description in RNAcentral is "bacterial LSU rRNA". The stretch from base 1 to 1548 matches the Rfam family "Bacterial large subunit ribosomal RNA", at positions 809 to 2925 of the family's 2925-position model. The record is from RNAcentral.
GUGUGGAUAGGGGAGAAAUUCCAAUCGAACCCGGAGAUAGCUGGUUCUCCUCGAAAUAGCUUUAGGGCUAGCCUCGUUUUAGUCUUAUGGAGGUAGAGCACUGAAUUUCCGCGGGGGCGUCAAAGCUUACCAAAGAAUAUCAAACUCCGAAUGCCAUGUAGAUGAUGAACGGGAGUCAGACUGCACGAGAUAAGUUGGGCGGUCAAAAGGGAAAGAGCCCAGACCACCGGCUAAGGUCCCAAAGUGUGUGUUAAGUGGAAAAGGAUGUGGGAAUUCGAAGACAACUAGGAUGUUGGCUCAGAAGCAGCCAUACAUUCAAAGAGUGCGUAACAGCUCACUAGUCGAGAGUCCCUGCGCCGAAAAUGUCCGGGGCUGAAACACAACACCGAAGCCGUGGACUCCGUAAGGAGUGGUAGAGGAGCAUUCUUAAAACCGACGAAGCUGUACCGGUAAGGAGCAGUGGAGGGAUAAGAAGAGAGAAUGCCGGAAUGAGUAGCGAGAGGAAGGUGGGAAUCCUUCCGGCCGAAUAUCUAAGGUUUCCAGAGUAAAGCUGAUCUGCUCUGGGUAAGUCGGGGCCUAAGGAGAGGUCGAAAGACGUAUCCGAUGGACAACAGGUUUAGAUUCCUGUACCACAUAUAAACAGAACUGUGGGGACGCAUGUGGAAAGCAUAAGCCGGGAAUGGAAAUACCGGUACAAACGGAAGAGGUGUCAGGCUGGCAAAUCCGCCUGGCAAGCCAAAGACGUGAUGUGGAGCGAAAUAAAAGUAGCGAAGUAUGUGAGCCAUGUGCCGAGAAAAGCCGCUAUUGUUUUAUAUGUGCCCGUACCGUAAACCGACACAGGUGGAUGAGGAGAGAAUCCUAAGGCCGACGGAAGAAGCAUUGUUAAGGAACUCGGCAAAAUGACCCCGUAACUUCGGGAGAAGGGGUGCCCUGUGAAAGCAGGGCCGCAGUGAAAAGGCUCAAGCAACUGUUUAGCAAAAACACAGGUCUAUGCAAAACCGAAAGGUGAAGUAUAUGGGCUGACGCCUGCCCGGUGCUGGAAGGUUAAGAGGAGAGGUUAGCGCAAGCGAAGCUUUGAAUUUAAGCCCCAGUAAACGGCGGCCGUAACUAUAACGGUCCUAAGGUAGCGAAAUUCCUUGUCGGGUAAGUUCCGACCCGCACGAAAGGCGUAAUGAUUUGAGCGCUGUCUCGACAAUGCAUCCGGUGAAAUUGAAGUACCAGUGAAGAUGCUGGUUACCCGCGCCAGGACGGAAAGACCCCAUGGAGCUUUACUCCAGUUUGAUACUGGGAUUCGGUACUGCACGUACAGGAUAGGUGGGAGACUUAGAACUAUGGACGCCAGUCUGUAGGGAGUCGCUGUUGGGAUACCACCCCUGUAGUACUGGGUUUCUAACCAUCUGCCGUGACCCGGCAGUGGGACAAUGUCAGGGGGGGAGUUCGGGCCACCGGAGCCACCGAGUACGGCUCUCACGUGGUGGCCUAUGAACAGUCCACCGCCGCGGGCGCCUCGGUCAACCGGGGUACCACCAUUGAGGUACGCUUUACCGACAGCACGGCCAGCGGCGCGGGCCUGUAAAAACGGGCCGACAACAUGGGAAACGGGGUGAGGGCAUGAAGCUGAAUGAGCUGUUGGACGGCGUGGCGCUGACCGCGCGGCAUGUCCAGGACGUGGAAUGUUCAGGAAUCUGCUGCGACACCCGAGACAUGACCCCCGGCUGCCUCUUUGUGGCGCUUCCGGGGUACAAGACCGAUGGACACCGGUACAUCCGGCAGGCCCUGGAAGGGGGAGCGGCGGCGGUGCUCUGCCAGCGCCCCCCGGAGGGGGAGGGCCC